GAUGAACGCUGGCGGCGUGCCUAAUACAUGCAAGUCGAGCGAACAGACGAGGAGCUUGCUCCUCUGACGUUAGCGGCGGACGGGUGAGUAACACGUGUAUAACCUACCUAUAAGACUGGGAUAACUUCGGGAAACCGGAGCUAAUACCGGAUAAUAUAUUGAACCGCAUGGUUCAAUAGUGAAAGACGGUUUUGCUGUCACUUAUAGAUGGAUCCGCGCCGCAUUAGCUAGUUGGUAAGGUAACGGCUUACCAAGGCAACGAUGCGUAGCCGACCUGAGAGGGUGAUCGGCCACCCUGGAACGGAGCCACGGACCAGAGUCCUAAGGGAGGCAGCAGUAGGGAAUCUUCCGCAAUGGGCGAAAGCAUGACGGAGCAACGCCGCGUGAGUGAUGAAGGUCUUCGGAUCGUAAAACUCUGUUAUUAGGGAAGAACAAAUGUGUAAGUAAAUAUGCACGUAUUGACGGUAACUAAUAAGAAAGCAACGGCUAACUACGUG
This 497-nucleotide ribosomal RNA is filed under the name uncultured bacterium. RNAcentral describes it as "partial 16S ribosomal RNA". It matches the Rfam family "Bacterial small subunit ribosomal RNA", at positions 28 to 507 of the family's 1533-position model. The record is from RNAcentral.